Long non-coding RNA from Triticum urartu, 1575 nucleotides. RefSeq lists it as uncharacterized. The record is from RefSeq and is a predicted model, not a curated record. Lineage: Eukaryota; Viridiplantae; Streptophyta; Magnoliopsida; Poales; Poaceae.
CCCACUCUCCACCGUUCCAAUCCCCACACACGCACUCACCACAGUUCCAAUCCCGCACCCGCACUCGCUCGCCGAAACCCUAGCCGCCCCGCCCCCGCACCUUGGCCGACCCUCAGCCCUUCGACGGCGAGGAGCCCUCAGCCCGUCGCCUGACUUUACCGACAAAUCAAGCGACCGCGUGCCCACCAAAUCCCAAAUCUCACCGUCUCCGCCCUCUCCUCGUCGCCUCCACCAAGAUCGCAUCAACCACCUCGAUGGCCGCCGCCGCACCGCCGCAUGCCGCGGCGCUCCUAGCCGCCCUCUCCCUCGCCCUGCUCGCGCUCAGGCCCCGGUGGUGGCCGAGAUCCGGUCGAUGGCGAUCCAGGCCGACCGGCGCACUAUGAUCUCGUGCGGUGUGGGAGAGCGGCAUGGUGGCGGAGAAACCUCGGCGACUAGACGACGGCGCAGGUUGACUUCGGUCCGGCGUGGUGAAUCUGCAGCGGCGAUCAGAUCAAGGCAAGGUACCAAUUGGCAAUGAGAGACAUAAGGGGAAUGCUGACAUCACAUUCCAUGCUCCUUCAGACAUGGAGUCCAGGUGCGCACGGCUCAGUCGCCCCGCGCGUGGCCGCCUUGGAGUUGGAGCGCUUCCUGCCCCAUGCCCCUUGUCUGCUUUGGUGGCGGGUUCCUCCUGGCCGCGAUGAUGCCCGAGGCCGGCCGCUACACCCACAAGAAGGAUGACGGCAUCUGCAACAGACGAUGAGUGCGGCGAUGAGUCCGACCAGGGCGUGCUGGCAGAGGAGGCCCAGGAGCUCGCCGCCCCUGAUGGCGAGGGCGUGCCCGACUUGGAUGGUGGCCGCCAAGGACAACGCCACUGAGGACGUCGUCCCGGAGUUCAUUGAUGGCCUCAUCCCAUUUGACAAGGAGUGUGCCACUACUAGUGCGUCCCUGUGGACGGCAGGAGAAAUAGUGAGGAUGAAGAGGUGAAUGGUGUUGAUUGUUGAACUGAAAGCUUGAUUUGGUCAGGUGGAGGGUGGCUUUGUGAAGGAUGGGGAGGUGGGAGAAGAACUCUGAAGGAAAGCGGUGAGUAGAUGUCGAUGAUGUCUACUUGCUUGGCUGCUAUGGUGAUGCAUGCACCGGUGAAGCACGCACACAUGCAAGGUUGGCCCCAUGUCUUCCUUGGCUGCGAACAUCAUCUAUAGGCUAGCAGUAUGACCGGAUGCGAGGACCUGCUCACUGACCAGGACAAUCUAUGAGCUCCCAGCACCUCUGAUAGAAGGUGUGUUAGGGCCAACCUCUUUCGGAAGAAGGCCACACUCGUAGCCCCUCUGGAUCAAAAUUGGAUGGCAAGUUUUUGCAACUGGAGCAAGUCUCACAAGAGAGAGCAAUGAAGUCCAUUGUACUCUCCUGUUAUAUACUUCUUGUUGUAGGAUGGCAAGUUGUAGGAUGUGCCAUAAUUGUCUUAUUGCAUAUUCCCUUUGUUCCUUCUAUAUUCCUCUAUAAGGAAAUGUAUUCCUAAGAUGAUUUGUUAUGUAAACCUGAUGUGAUGCGAUGGAUGAUUUGAAUUUCAUAUGGAGUUUUCUUGAUUUGAAUAUAAAA